ACAGUGACCAGAGGAGUGUCAUGGGAAUGUUUCCAGCCGUUUAAGCGCUUUUGUAACAUCAUGGCACAGCCAGGUUACGGGUACCCACCGCCUGUGGAAAGUAACCCUCAACUUCAAGGAGGUUAUCAACCACCUCAAGGAGGUUAUCCACCGCUUCAAGGUGGUUAUCCACCACCUCAAGGUGGUUAUCCCCCACCACAAGCAGGUUAUCCACCGCCGGCGCAACCUGGAUAUGCUCCUACUCAACCUGGCUAUGCACCGCCUGUUAGCCAACAACCUGGAUUUGCAGCCCCAGCUCCUGCAGGUUAUGGACAAAUGCAAUGGAUGCCUCCUCCCCCAGUUCCAGCGAACUGUCCUCCAGGACUGGAAUAUCUAACCCAAAUAGAUCAACUUUUAAUAAAACAGCAAGUCGAACUCCUAGAAGCUUUCACUGGCUUUGAAACCAACAACAAAUACAAGAUUUUGAACAGCAUGGGACAGCAGGUGUUUUUCGCAGCGGAAGAUACUGAUUGCUGUACACGACAGUGUUGUGGCCCAGGAAGACCUUUUGAAAUGAAAAUCCUGGACAAUCAUGAGCAGGAAAUUGUGCAUUUGACUCGUCCUCUGCGUUGUCAGUCUUGCUUAUUUCCUUGUUGUCUUCAAGAGAUUGAAGUGCAAUCACCACCUGGGACAGUCCUUGGCUACUGUGCUCAGGAAUGGUCAAUAUGCAUUCCUAAGUUUACAAUCCAGAAUGCUGACAGAGAAACAAUCCUGAGAAUUGAAGGACCCUUCUGCCAGUGCAGUCUCUGUGGAGAUGUUGACUUUCAGGUGCUCUCUGCAGAUGGCCAGAAUCAGGUUGGAAGAAUUUCUAAACAGUGGACUGGUUUGGUAAAGGAGGCGUUUACUGACGCAGACAACUUUGGUAUCACAUUUCCUAUGGACCUUGAUGUGAAAAUGAAGGCUGUUGUACUUGGUGCUUGUUUUCUCAUUGAUUUCAUGUUCUUUGAGCAAGCACAGAACCAGGAUAAUAGCAGUUAUUAAUCAGUACCACCAGAAAAGUUUAUCAAGUUUAGCAGGGAAGGAACCAGAAAAGAGCAUGUAUACGUAAUGUUUUGCAGGAGUGCAGAGAAAUUUAUUGCUAUAUAGAGAUUGUCAAUGACAUGGGCAAUCCAGCCUUUCACUGAAGCUGUGUACCUUUUUUUUUCUUUUUUUUUUAACGAACGGUUUCAACAACCGUUUUGUCGCACAAGGCUGUUUCCUUGGGGUGGUGUGAUAUCACGCAAGUGUCAUAGAUAGGCAUCAUAUCACGCUCUUCGUAAAAUCCCGACGAGAUCAAUAUUUCAGUUUUUUUUGUUUUUGUUUACAAGGUUAUAGUCGUUCGUGGUUGACACUCAUUGAUUUUGAUGUUUUCAUUUGACUAAGUUUUUUAACAACCCGGAGAAGUAAUUGAAAGAAAGGGCUGUCUUGAAACUGAAAGACUGCCUCGAGACUGCCGUUUCGGACAGUUGCUAAUGGAAAUUUGACCCCCUAAAGAUAUGUGCAUGUCUGAAAACAUAAUGAUUGUAAAAAAAUAGAUUUUU
RNAcentral lists this unclassified non-coding RNA (1559 nucleotides) under Pocillopora damicornis (cauliflower coral). RNAcentral describes it as "phospholipid scramblase 2-like, transcript variant X2". The record is from RNAcentral. Lineage: Eukaryota; Metazoa; Cnidaria; Anthozoa; Scleractinia; Pocilloporidae.